GACGAACGCUGGCGGCGUGCCUAAUACAUGCAAGUAGAACGCUGAAGAGAGGAGCUUGCUCUUCUUGGAUGAGUUGCGAACGGGUGAGUAACGCGUAGGUAACCUGCCUGGUAGCGGGGGAUAACUAUUGGAAACGAUAGCUAAUACCGCAUAAAAUUGAUUAUUGCAUGAUAAUUAAUUGAAAGAUGCAACUGCAUCACUACCAGAUGGACCUGCGUUGUAUUAGCUAGUUGGUGAGGUAACGGCUCACCAAGGCGACGAUACAUAGCCGACCUGAGAGGGUGAUCGGCCACGCUGGGACUGAGACACGGCCCAGACUCCUACGGGAGGCAGCAGUAGGGAAUCUUCGGCAAUGGGGGGAACCCUGACCGAGCAACGCCGCGUGAGUGAAGAAGGUUGUCGGAUCGUAAAGCUCUGUUGUAAGAGAAGAACGGGUGUGAGAGUGGAAAGUUCACACUGUGACGGUAUCUUACCAGAAAGGGACGGCUAACUACGUG
RNAcentral lists this ribosomal RNA (497 nucleotides) under uncultured bacterium. RNAcentral's name for it is "partial 16S ribosomal RNA". It matches the Rfam family "Bacterial small subunit ribosomal RNA", at positions 28 to 507 of the family's 1533-position model. The record is from RNAcentral.